Balaenoptera acutorostrata (minke whale) is the source of this 261-nucleotide long non-coding RNA. RefSeq lists it as uncharacterized. NCBI's taxonomy places the organism in Eukaryota, Metazoa, Chordata, Mammalia, Artiodactyla, Balaenopteridae. The transcript has 3 exons. The record is from RefSeq and is a predicted model, not a curated record.
GAAAUAUCGAAAAAAUUAAGAAAAAGUUAGUAUAUAUCAUGAAUGCAUAAAAUAUAUGUAGAUACUAUCCUUACACAGGCAUAAGAAAUAAAAUCAUCAGUGUCAAGCUCUUGGUACUUGUCUGGAAAGGAACCUGGCAAUAUGAACCAAUUUACUUUUGCAUCAGCAGGAAGCAUUCCUGUGUCUACCUCAUGCUGCAAGCCAUGGAAAGGAAGGCCGGGUGCCAGUGUGAGAAGAGUUUCCUCAAAAAUGUGAGCUGUG